UACGUAGGGUGCAAGCGUUGUCCGGAAUUAUUGGGCGUAAAGAGCUCGUAGGCGGUCUGUCGCGUCGGCUGUGAAAUCCCGAGGCUCAACCUCGGGUCUGCAGUCGAUACGGGCAAACUAGAGUAUUGCAGGGGAGACUGGAAUUCCUGGUGUAGCGGUGAAAUGCGCAGAUAUCAGGAGGAACACCGGUGGCGAAGGCGGGUCUCUGGGCAAUAACUGACGCUGAGGAGCGAAAGCGUGGGGAGCGAACCGG
RNAcentral lists this ribosomal RNA (253 nucleotides) under uncultured bacterium. Its description in RNAcentral is "partial 16S ribosomal RNA". It matches the Rfam family "Bacterial small subunit ribosomal RNA", at positions 524 to 776 of the family's 1533-position model. The record is from RNAcentral.